UGAUAAGUUCGUUUGCAUUAUUCAGGGUUGUAUACUGGGGUUCCUCGUCUAAAGUUCUUAAUAUUUUUGUCUUGAAAAUACCCAGUCUAGUUUCACGAUAUCGCUAUGAAUCAACCAUGCUUGGCUUUGCUUUGGCACAAUGUGGAGGAUUUUGGCAGGCAGUUUAGAAGUAUUUAUAGCAAAGACAUCUCUCUUAAUUUCCUCUGUAAACUUCAAUAAGGGAUAGGAAAAGCACUCCCUUUUCGUUUUCCGUUUGUUUUUGUCUUGAUUUUUUUUUAUUUAUACGAAUG
Molecule: long non-coding RNA, 290 nt
Filed under: Mytilus galloprovincialis (Mediterranean mussel)
Lineage: Eukaryota; Metazoa; Mollusca; Bivalvia; Mytilida; Mytilidae
Source: RNAcentral